GUAGGUUUCCUGGAAAUGCUCCUGCUAUCCGUGUCAGGGAUGCCUUGACUGCGCUCCAUUUGUCUCGUCGUCUGUCUAUGAUGAUGAUGAAUCCAAUGCUGGCAGCCUCCAGACUGGGAAUGCUGGUUAGGUACGUGACCACAUUCAGAAAAUCCUCAUCGGGUAUUUCACUGAAUCCUGCAAACUCUGGGAAGGUAAUAAUUGGCGCUCCAUCCU
This 216-nucleotide long non-coding RNA is filed under the name Gallus gallus (chicken). Lineage: Eukaryota; Metazoa; Chordata; Aves; Galliformes; Phasianidae. The record is from RNAcentral.